AGUGAACGCUGGCGGUAGGCCUAACACAUGCAAGUCGAACGGCAGCACAGUAAGAGCUGGCUCUUACGGGUGGCGAGUGGCGGACGGGUGAGGAAUACAUCGGAAUCUACUUUUUCGUGGGGGAUAACGUAGGGAAACUUACGCUAAUACCGCAUACGACCUACGGGUGAAAGCAGGGGAUCUUCGGACCUUGCGCGAGUGAAUGAGCCGAUGUCGGAGUAGCUAGUUGGCGGGGUAAAGGCCCACCAAGGCGACGAUCCGUAGCUGGUCUGAGAGGAUGAUCAGCCACCCUGGAACUGAGAAACGGUCCCGACUCCUACGGGGGGCAGCAGUGGGGAAUCUUGGACAAUGGGGGCAAGCCUGAUACAGCCAUACCGCGUGGGUGAAGAAGGCCUUCGGGUUGUAAAGCCCUUUUGUUGGGAAAGAAAAGCAGCAGGUUAAUACCCCGCUGUUCUGACGGUACCCAAAGAAUAAGCACCGGCUAACUUCGUG
RNAcentral lists this ribosomal RNA (492 nucleotides) under uncultured bacterium. Its description in RNAcentral is "partial 16S ribosomal RNA". It matches the Rfam family "Bacterial small subunit ribosomal RNA", at positions 29 to 507 of the family's 1533-position model. The record is from RNAcentral.